AUGCAUCACAACGCCAGGCCAUUUUCCACAUCUUACACUGCCAUGAGCUCUAGGCUUCUCUGCUGGGUGGUUGUUUGUGUCCUGAAAGCAGGCUUAGGCUUCAAGGAUGCUAUGGUCACACAGUUCCCAAGAUAUAAGACCUCCAGGACAGGAAAGGAAUUAACACUACUGUGUUCUCAGAACAUGAAUCACUUUUCAAUGUACUGGUAUCGACAAGACCCAGGACUUGGAUUGCAGCUCACUUAUUACUCAACUGGUAUUGGCAGCAUUGAAAAGGGAGAUGUCUUCAAAGGGUAUCAUGUCUCUCGAAAAGAACAAGAGCAUUUUCCCUUGACCCUGGAGUCUGCCAGUACCAACCAAACAUCUGUGUACUUCUGUGCCAGCAGAUUAUCCACAGCACUGCAACACCACAUCCUCUCCAUACAACAAUGA
This is a non-coding RNA of Castor canadensis (American beaver), 432 nucleotides long. The record is from the annotation of a RefSeq genome assembly. NCBI's taxonomy places the organism in Eukaryota, Metazoa, Chordata, Mammalia, Rodentia, Castoridae.